RNAcentral lists this unclassified non-coding RNA (369 nucleotides) under uncultured Thelephora. RNAcentral describes it as "sequence contains ITS1". The stretch from base 1 to 106 matches the Rfam family "5.8S ribosomal RNA", at positions 50 to 154 of the family's 154-position model. Lineage: Eukaryota; Fungi; Basidiomycota; Agaricomycetes; Thelephorales; Thelephoraceae. The record is from RNAcentral.
GAAAUGCGAUAAGUAAUGUGAAUUGCAGAAUUCAGUGAAUCAUCGAAUCUUUGAACGCACCUUGCGCCUCUUGGCUAUUCCGAGGGGCAUGCCUGUUUGAGUAUCAUGAACACCUCAACUCUCACGGUUUGCCCGUGAUGAGCUUGGACUUCUGGAGGUUUUGCCGGCCUGCGGUCGGCUCCUCUCAAAUCGAUCAGCUUACCAGUGUUUGGUGGCGUCAUGGGUGUGAUAACUAUCUACGCUUGUGGCCGUCUGCCAGGUAACCUUCAGCGAUGGAGGUUCGCUGGGGCUCAUAAACGUCUCUCCCCAGCGAAGACAGCUUUUUGAACGUUCGAUCUCAAAUCAGGUAGGACUACCCGCUGAACUUAA